UUUCAGUUCGGGAACAUUCUCUUCCCUUGUAUCUUUGAACAUUGUGUGUGCACUAGCUGCUCUGUUCUCUUUCUCUUCAAGGCAGAAUAGCUACAUACUGGGGCCCUGCUGUGGGUGCCUCAUGUAGAUUAUCUUCUUCUGCGUGCUUUGAAUUUUUCCAUUUUGUUUUUUAUUGUGCAUGAUUUUUUUUAAGCCAGCACCAUUCUUCAUCCUACAGUGCUCAUUCAGCUUUUUGCUGGUGCUGUUCUGUUUUAAUUUCAUCUCCCUUUCCAUUAAAAGCUGUUUUGUUAUUUCCUCUUUCAUCUGAACGUAGGCAGUACCUGUUUCUUUAAUUUCCUCAAGAAGAUGAAACGUUGUUGCUGAAAUAUUUCUUUUCUUUCCUGGAGGCAGGCCUCUAACCUCGUGGUGGCCAUUUUCCCCUGCCUCUGCAAUCACGGAGCCACAUCAGGAUGGAUCUUCCCAAGGCUUGGGUCCUUGAGUGGCUGGGAUGAGAAGAGCUCCAUUGAUGACCCUGAUGGACAUAGUAACUUCAGCUGGGGUGCCGUCCAAGAGUCAGUCAAAGUUCUUCCGCUUCUUGAGAAUGUAAUACUUCAUGGCUCAUUUGAAAUUGAGUCGGCACAAAGCAAGGCUUUAUGGCAGCAGCUGAAUGCGGUAUCCUGGGUGGCAUCUGGCACUUUGGGAUCUAAGGCAAAUAAGUCAAGGACUGGUGAUCCCCAGGGGUUUUCCCUCAUGGAGUUUAGCUUAAGCAGAAGGAGAGGAAUGAGGGCUUAAAGUGUCAUGGGUUUCAUGCUAGAAAAAUUUGGAUUUACAUUCUGUUAUUUCAGCUGUCAAGUUCUUAAAAUGGAUACAAAUCUUUGCAGUCACUCCAUGGGACUUCGCUGUGUGGAAUCAAAUUUUUUGCAAAUUUAGAGGCAACAACAGUGACAGAAGUUCAGCAAAUAUGUCAAUCAGCCUGAAUGGAUGUAAACGAUGAGUGAGAGGUGGGGGAGGUGUCCCUGAGCACAAAUUUUGCCUGUUUCCGAACACCCUGUUUUGUACCACUCUGCUGUUCACGGAUAGGAUAAGAAGGGGAAAUGAUCCCUUUCUCUCCUGAUAUUGUGCACCAGGAGGAAUCUCUUUCCACCCAUAAACACAAGAGGAUUUAUCAGAUGUGUUGGAUCAAGAAAUGCAUUUUUUGAUAAUUGGAUUUUUAAAUAAAUAUAUGAAAGUAUUAUUCUCUCCAGCUUAUUAUGCUUUUUUAGGUCACUAGCGAGGACUUCUACAUCCAAGAGAAUAUUAGGAGUUGUGAUAGAUCCCCCCUAUGGCCCCAAUUCUUCUCCAUCUCUGUGUUCACACCUUUUGCUGUUCCUCUCACCAGAUGGGUAGCAUUUAUUUUCCUGCAUCAUGGGAUUUGCAGCCAAUAGACUGAGGCAGAGGUGAUGGCGUGCCGGUUCUGAGUAGAGGCCUCAAAGGCCUUUGCACCUUUUUACUUUCCUUUUUGUAGCUUUGUGUUGUCACGAGCCUCCAACUUACCUACACAUGAGCAGGUGAGAAAAACCAGCCUGCGGACACAUGAGCCAAGCAAUUGAGAGCAGCUUGGCCAGCCUAGGUCAGUAGACCCCGCAGUGAGCUACAGACAUGUGAGGUAGAAUAGUAAAUGAAUAUUGUUUUAAAUCACUACAUUUUGUGUAUUUUAUUAGGCAGCACUUUUGUUCCAAUGGCUCCUUGACACUACAGUGUUAACCUUUAACAAAGAUUCAAUAGAUAUUUACAGAAUGAAUGAAUGAACAAAACUAUAUCCAGAAUAUUUCUGUGUAUAUGUACACAAAUGUGUUUGCAGAUAAAAGUAAAAUAAUAAAAUACACACUCUAUAUUUUCACCUGCCUAUGGAUUUAGACCCUUCUCUGUUUUAGUUUUCACAGUUCUCCAUUAAAAGUUGGUUUGAGAUUAAUUAGCUGUUUGCAAAGUUCACAGAGAAUGAGAGGCAAGUUUACCUUGCACCAUGGCUGUCCAGUCUUGUUUCCCACUGGAUGUGAUUUCAAUCAUCUUUAAUUAAUUUUCAUAUAUUUUGUUGUUGACUGACUUUCCAGAUCACUACGCAAAAUUAGUAUUUUGCAAACAAAAUGAUAGCAAUGUUGGUUCCCCUCUCCCCACAAAGAAGAAACACACAAAAAUAUUUUCAUUUCCUAGAUACUUCUGUAACUUAAAAAAACACAAUGUCUAUUAUAGGCAGUGUUAAAACUGUGCUGCAGGAAAUGAUCAGAAAGAUUUUCUUCCGUGUUAGUGCUAUAAUUGCACUUAAGGAGAAUAUAGAAGGAUUAGUUAAUUUCGCUGCUCAGUGCAAGUUUGAUUCUGGCUUUCAAAGCUAAAAUUGGAAGAAAAAUCUUGAGUUGAUAACGGCAUUCAGGAUUUCUAAUCAAUUACUGUCUUCAAACCUUUCAGCACGGUGGUUCCAAAGAAUGAAAAGAGAAGACAGAUCUUCUGGAAGUGAAAUGAAGUGCGUUGAUAAAUAACUGACCAAACAUCUCAUUUCUAAAACAUUUUAAGCUUUUAAAAAUUUUCUUCUAGAUGGCUCAGGGUAUUUUUUUAAGUGUAUAUAUGUAUUUUUUUUUUUGUUAUCAUCAGACAGGAUAUAACUCUAACUUGGUACAAGGUAUAAUUUCUACUGGGUGUUUGGAAAGCCGCAGGGCUGUUGUUUUGAGAUUAGCUGUGAAGGCACAUGAUGACCUGGUCACAGUUCUUGACCUCCCCCAAAGAUAGUAAACCACAUGCUCUUUCCCACACGUGCACAUUUUUGAUUGAAACAGAGAGUGUCAAGGGAACUAGAACUUGAGGAGAAUAUGCCCUUGGCCAUUGCACAAUUGUCUAUUGUGAGAUUUUAGGAUUUGUCAGAAAAAUAUAGUUGGGUCAUUGUUUAUUCCAACCAGGUUUCAAACUCCCCAUGACCCUGUCCUGCCCCAGGUCCUUGUAGGAUUCUGAGUGCCUUAUUUUAAGAGCCUAGAAAUAGUUUGGGCUUCCUAUUGAUGACAGAGUUAUUUUCUACGUAACCUGCUUUGUUAAAUGCAUUUUUAAAAAUGGCAGAAAAACAUGGGCUGUAUCUUAGAGGAACACCAGGAAUAGGAAGACCUUCUCUUCGACUUGAUCUUACAUCUGUAACUGCUUUCUUCAGUUGGAUGGUAGGCAGGUGAAAAAUAUUAUUCAAGUCACCCAUUGAUGGAAUGAUCCAAUUGAUUAUAUGACUGAUUUGACCAACAGCAGAAUGAUUUGAGCAACAAAGGGAUCUGUGAAUUAUUUUAUGUCUAGGAAAGUUUUGAAUUCUAAGAACUAUUCUAAACACUGAUCAUGGGUGUACCUUGUUUACUUGGUGAAUUUAGAAUUAUUUUAGCAAGUCAUAAAGCUGUAUAGUGACAGUGCACAUCUUCAGGGCUUUAGAAAUGAUCUUUCUUAUGUGAUUAUUUCGGUGACUUGUCCCUUUUAUUUGUCAACUGUUUGAAUGUGCAUCUGUAUGUUGUAUGUGCAUCUGUAUGUGUGCAUGCGUGUG
Equus caballus (horse) is the source of this 3520-nucleotide long non-coding RNA. Lineage: Eukaryota; Metazoa; Chordata; Mammalia; Perissodactyla; Equidae. The record is from Ensembl.